AGGGAACCUUCACAAAGGACGAAAACCUGAUGGAGGAACCCCCGGGGAGGGAUGAAAGGUUUUGGAACGUAAAAAUCUGGUGUUAGGGAAGAACCAGUACGGUAGGGAAUGGACGUACCCUUACGGUACCUUAUUAGAAAUGCACGGCGCAUUCAGGUGCAGCAGCCGCGGUAAUACGUAGGUGGCAAGCGUUGUCCGGAAUUAUUGGGCGUAAAGCGCGCGCAGGUGGUUUCUUAAGUCUGAUGUGAAAGCCCACGGCUUAACCGUGGAGGGUCAUUGGAAACUGGGAGACUUGAGUGCAGAAGAGGAAAGUGGAAUCCCAAGUGUAGCGAUGAAAUGCGUAGAGAUUUGGAGGAACACCAGUGGCGAAGGCGACUUUCUGGUCUGCAACUGACGCUGAGGCGCGAAAGCAUGUGGAGCAAACA
Molecule: ribosomal RNA, 425 nt
Filed under: uncultured Caryophanaceae bacterium
Lineage: Bacteria; Bacillati; Bacillota; Bacilli; Caryophanales; Caryophanaceae
Description: bacterial SSU rRNA
Rfam family: Bacterial small subunit ribosomal RNA
Source: RNAcentral